Molecule: ribosomal RNA, 648 nt
Filed under: Acarospora sp. EH-2022w
Lineage: Eukaryota; Fungi; Ascomycota; Lecanoromycetes; Acarosporales; Acarosporaceae
Description: partial large subunit ribosomal RNA
Rfam family: Eukaryotic large subunit ribosomal RNA
Source: RNAcentral
ACGCCCGUGUGAAGCUCCUUCGACGAGUCGAGUUGUUUGGGAAUGCAGCUCAAAAUGGGUGGUAAAUUUCAUCUAAAGCUAAAUAUUGGCCAGAGACCGAUAGCGCACAAGUAGAGUGAUCGAAAGAUGAAAAGCACUUUGGAAAGAGAGUCAAACAGUACGUGAAAUUGUUGAAAGGGAAGCGCUUGCAACCAGACUUGCCCGCGGGUGAUCAGCCGGUAUUUUUACCGGUGCACUCGCCCGUGGUCAGGCCAGCAUCGGUUUGGGCGGCGGGAUAAAGUCCUCCGGAAUGUAGCUCCUUUCGGGGAGUGUUAUAGCCGGGGGUGCAAUGCUGCCCGCCUGGACCGAGGACCGCGCUUUGGCUCGGAUGCUGGCGUAAUGGUUGUAAGCGACCCGUCUUGAAACACGGACCAAGGAGUCUAACAUCUAUGCGAGUGUUUGGGUGUCAAACCCAUGCGCGUAAUGAAAGUGAACGGAGGUGGGAACCCUCCAGGGUGCACCAUCGACCGAUCCUGAUGUCUUCGGAUGGAUUUGAGUAAGAGCAUAGCUGUUGGGACCCGAAAGAUGGUGAACUAUGCCUGAAUAGGGUGAAGCCAGAGGAAACUCUGGUGGAGGCUCGCAGCGGUUCUGACGUGCAAAUCGAUCGUC